AUGAACGCUGGCGGCGUGCCUAAUACAUGCAAGUCGAGCGAACUGACGAGGAGCUUGCUCCUCUGACGUUAGCGGCGGACGGGUGAGUAACACGUGGAUAACCUACCUAUAAGACUGGGAUAACUUCGGGAAACCGGAGCUAAUACCGGAUAAUAUAUUGAACCGCAUGGUUCAAUAGUGAAAGACGGUUUUGCUGUCACUUAUAGAUGGAUCCGCGCCGCAUUAGCUAGUUGGUAAGGUAACGGCUUACCAAGGCAACGAUGCGUAGCCGACCUGAGAGGGUGAUCGGCCACACUGGAACUGAGACACGGUCCAGACUCCUACGGGAGGCAGCAGUAGGGAAUCUUCCGCAAUGGGCGAAAGCUUGACGGAGCAACGCCGCGUGAGUGAUGAAGGUCUUCGGAUCGUAAAACUCUGUUAUUAGGGAAGAACAAAUGUGUAAGUAACUAUGCACGUCUUGACGGUACCUAAUCAGAAAGCCACGGCUAACUACGUG
This 496-nucleotide ribosomal RNA is filed under the name uncultured bacterium. RNAcentral's name for it is "partial 16S ribosomal RNA". It matches the Rfam family "Bacterial small subunit ribosomal RNA", at positions 29 to 507 of the family's 1533-position model. The record is from RNAcentral.